UCGGGGGCGUCGGAGUUUUUCGUCAGGUUGGAGGAGCACGGGGCGGCCGUGACGUCAUCGAUGACGUCAUCAAUGACAUCAUCAAUGCCGUCAUCAAUGGCGUCAUCAACGACGUCAUCAACGACUCCAACAAUGACGUCAUUGGGUGUGGCCAAAGAACCGCCCCGCCCGGCGGCGUUGUCACCCCCAGGGGGUGGGGGAGGCGGCAGUGAUGUCAUCAGUGACAUCAUCAGUGACGUCAUCGGCGAUGCCACCGACAGGGAGGUUUUGUCGCCCGAGUGGGGGAGGGGACGGAGGUUGGGCGGGGAGGGGUCGGCACGGGGUCAAGAGAGGUCAACGUUGGGUCAAGAGUGGACAUUGGGCCAAGAGUGGUCAUCAUUAGGUCAAGACCGGACAUCAACCCAGGACCGGCCAUCGUUGACCCAAGAACGGCCAUCGUUGGGUCAUGAGCGGUCAUCAUUAGGUCAAGACCGGACAUUGACCCCGGACCGGUCAUCGUUGGCCCAAGACUCAGCAUUGAGCCAGGACCGGUCAUCGUUGGGUCAAGAGUGGACAUUGACCCCAGACCGGUCGAUAUUGACCCCAGACCGGUCAUCGUUGGGUCAGGACUGGUCAUCGUUGACCCAAACGAGGUCAACGGCCCAAGUGACGUCACCGUUGUCCCUUGAGAUGACCCCGUGGGGUCAGGGCCGGACAUUGACCCCAGAGCGGUCAUCGUUGGGUCAAGAGUGGACAGUGACCCAGGAUUGGUCACCGUUGGGUCAGGACAGGUCACUGUCACCGUUGUCACCGGAGGUGGCGCCUUGGGGACAAAACCGGACAUUGCUGGCCCCAGAGCGGUCACCGUGGGGUCACGAAAGGUCAACGGCCCAAGGGACGUCACUGGAAAUGACCCCAAGGGGUCAAGGCCGGACAUUGACCCCAGACCGGUCACCUUUGACCCCAGACUGGUCAUUCAUGACCCAAAACCGGACACUGACCCCAGACCGGUCACCGUUGACCCAAGAUUGGUCAUCACUGACCCCGGAUCGGUCACCAUUGGGUCAAGACCGGCCAUUGACUCUGGACCGGUCAUCGUUGACCCAAGACCGGUCAUUGAUGGCCCAAGACCGGACAUUGACCCCAGAGCGGUCAGCAUUGACCCCAGACUGGACAUUGGAUCAAGACCGGUCAUCCUCGAGCCAAAACCGGACAUUGACCCCGGACCGGUCAUCGCUGACCCCAGACCGGACAUCGGACCAAGACCGGUCACCGUUGGGUCAGGACCGGUCAUCGUUGUGCCAAACUCGGACAUUGACCCAAGACCGGACAUUGACCCCGGACCGGUCACCUUUGACCCCAGCCCGGUCACCUUUGACCCCAGCCCGCUCCCCGCCCCCGGUGCCCCCCCGGACGUCGCCGUUGUCACCGGCGGUGGCACCGUGGGGACGAGGGACGGCGCCGCUGAGCCC
RNAcentral lists this long non-coding RNA (1451 nucleotides) under Junco hyemalis (dark-eyed junco). RNAcentral's name for it is "lncRNA (ENSJHYG00000001945.1)". Lineage: Eukaryota; Metazoa; Chordata; Aves; Passeriformes; Passerellidae. The record is from RNAcentral.